Molecule: non-coding RNA, 72 nt
Organism: Trichonephila inaurata madagascariensis
Lineage: Eukaryota; Metazoa; Arthropoda; Arachnida; Araneae; Nephilidae
Source: the annotation of a GenBank genome assembly
GGGUGUAUAGCUCAGGGGUAGAGCAUUCAGCUGCAUAUCGAGAAGUAUCCGGUUAAAACCCGGAUGUCCCCU